GGGGGGGGGGGCAAAGCAUCUUCCCACCUGAACUGUAUUGAUAUAGGCAAACCACAGAUCAACCACCUCGUUUAGGGAAAACAAGGCAAAUAAAACCCUAUAUUGUCUUAGUUAAUUUUGGAAAAGUGAACCAAUACCACAACACACUACCUUUGCUAAAUUGAGCCUCGCAAGUAACCUGUAGUCCCAGCACAAGGGUAUCAGAGGGAACGAGAGGCCUGCAGUGUUUUGAAUGGAAGCUCGAUAAUAAAGACAAUGAAAGUGGUCUGGGAGAAGGCCACAGAAGACCCACUCAGAUGUGGGGAAGGCUCGUGGAUGAUUCACACGGAGUUAACUCAUCACGAGCUUGGCCUUUGCGAUGGCAUCCUUGCUAGGAGAUACGAGGAUCCAAGGACUAGAAAAAAGUGUGAGCUUUUCGACACCUUAGGAUUCACGGUCCCUUCAAUUGACAUCACCAAGAUGGGUUGGUAAUGAUUGGUGCUCGGUGACCUCUUAGUGAAGAUCGUGAGAGGCCCAAGUUGGCGUACAUAGUUUCAAUGGUCCAUCGUACCGUUCCAUCUUGGAGAAUGAUCAACCACUAGAGAGCACUGCUUGGUCCUUGCAUAGAUCAAGGGGGAGCUAUAUCUUGUGAGGUGCUCUAACAAGGACUAGUGAGGAGUGACAACUCUCCGAUACCUCUCAUGAAACAUCGUUGUGUCCCUUGCUCCCUCUUUACAUUAUGCAUAUAAUUCCUUGUAAUUUAUAUUCCUAUAAUUGUCAUGCUAGUGUAGGGUUCGAACUUAGGGUGCAAAAGUUUUGUGCUACAGACAUAGAACAACAUGUAUGGGUGAAUUUAGCUAAACAUAGAUUUUAUUUUUGUGAAACUUUUAGAUUAUCUUAAUUCACUCCAUCCCUAUUGGACAUGCAUCUUCUCAUUCUUUCAAUAGUCAAGCUCCUAAUCAAAUGGACUUUGGGA
Molecule: long non-coding RNA, 955 nt
Organism: Sorghum bicolor (sorghum)
Lineage: Eukaryota; Viridiplantae; Streptophyta; Magnoliopsida; Poales; Poaceae
Exons: 2
Source: RefSeq, a predicted model, not a curated record